CCUUCGAUAGCUCAGUUGGUAGAGCGGUGGACUGUAGUGGUAUCAGAGACAUCCAUAGGUCGCUGGUUCAAAUCCGGCUCGAAGGA
Molecule: transfer RNA, 86 nt
Filed under: Strigamia maritima
Lineage: Eukaryota; Metazoa; Arthropoda; Chilopoda; Geophilomorpha; Linotaeniidae
Description: tRNA-Tyr for anticodon GUA
Rfam family: tRNA
About the family: Transfer RNA (tRNA) molecules are approximately 80 nucleotides in length. Their secondary structure includes four short double-helical elements and three loops (D, anti-codon, and T loops). Further hydrogen bonds mediate the characteristic L-shaped molecular structure. tRNAs have two regions of fundamental functional importance: the anti-codon, which is responsible for specific mRNA codon recognition, and the 3' end, to which the tRNAs corresponding amino acid is attached (by aminoacyl-tRNA synthetases). tRNAs cope with the degeneracy of the genetic code in two manners: having more than one tRNA (with a specific anti-codon) for a particular amino acid; and 'wobble' base-pairing, i.e. permitting non-standard base-pairing at the 3rd anti-codon position.
Source: Rfam by way of RNAcentral